Molecule: ribosomal RNA, 2271 nt
Filed under: human metagenome
Description: bacterial LSU rRNA
Rfam family: Bacterial large subunit ribosomal RNA
Source: RNAcentral
AGAGCGCACGGUGGAUGCCUAGGCACUAAUAGGCGAAGAAGGACGCGACUAACAGCGAAAUGCUACGGGGAGCAGUAAGUAGGCAAAGAUCCGUAGGUAUCCGAAUGGGGAAACCCACUAGUUAGAAGAGCUAGUAUCGAAUAAUGAAUACAUAGUUAUUCGAGGCGAACCCGGGGAACUGAAACAUCUAAGUACCCGGAGGAAAAGAGAACAAAAGUAAUUCCCUAAGUAGAGGCGAUUGAAAGGGGAGGAGCCCAGCACCAUGAAGAGUUAGAAAAUCUUUUUAUAGUAGAAUUGUAUUGGAAAAGCAAGACAAAGAAGGUGAAAUCCCUGUAUACGAAAUAAAGAGAUCUCGGUGUCGGAGUAGGGCGGAGCACGAGGAAUUCUGUCUGAAUAAGUGAGGACCAUCUCAUAAGGCUAAAUACUCAUUAGUGACCGAUAGUGAACCAGUACUGUGAAGGAAAGGUGAAAAGAACCCCUGGCGGGGAGUGAAAAGAACCUGAAACCGUGUGCUUACAAACAGUUAGAGCCCGUCAAAGGGUGAUAGCGUGCCUUUUGUAGAAUGAGCCGGCGAGUUACGUUAAUGUGCGAGGUUAAGUUUUAAGGGACGGAGCCGAAGCGAAAGCGAGUCUGAAGAGGGCGAAAUAGUAGAUUGACGUAUACCCGAAACCGGGUGAUCUAGCCAUGAGCAGGUUGAAGCUUGGGUAAAACCAGGUGGAGGACCGAACCAGGGUCUGUUGAAAAAGACUUGGAUGACUUGUGGCUAGGGGUGAAAUUCCAAUCGAACCCGGAGAUAGCUGGUUCUCCCCGAAAUAGCUUUAGGGCUAGCGUUAUGGAGAAGAGUUAUACGAAGGUAGAGCACUGAAUGGGUGAGGGCCUCAUCUCGAGGUACUGAUCUCAAUCAAACUCCGAAUGUCGUAUAAUAUACAUAGCAGUAAGACUAUGGGUGAUAAGGUUCAUAGUCAAAAGGGAAACAGCCCAGACCGCCAGUUAAGGUCCCAAAAUUAUGCUAAGUGGGAAAGGAGGUGGAGUCGCAUAGACAACUAGGAGGUUGGCUUAGAAGCAGCCAUCCUUUAAAGAGUGCGUAAUAGCUCACUAGUCGAGUGAUUCUGCGCCGAAAAUGUAUCGGGGCUAAGCAUAAUACCGAAGCUGCGGGAUUAGACAAAGAGUCUAAUCGGUAGGGGAGCGUACUAAACGCGAAGAAGGUUGACCGGAAGGGCAGCUGGAGAGUUUAGCAGUGAGAAUGCCGGUGUGAGUAGCGAUAAGAUGGGUGAGAAUCCCAUCCGUCGGAAGCCUAAGGGUUCCAGGGGUAAGGCUCGUCCGCCCUGGGUAAGUCGGGACCUAAGGUGAGGCCGAAAGGCGUAGCCGAUGGAUAUCAGGUUGAUAAUCCUGGACCACCGUAGAGCUGAAGGAGUGACGGAGGAGGGAAGUUAGGAUGGACUGGUGGAAUAGUCUAAUGAAGCACAAAGAGGGAUACGUAGGAAAAGCCGCGUAUUGAAACCUUGAAGUGUAAACCGCAAGGCCUAAUGGACCACACUUCCAAGAAAAGCUUCUAGGAGUACUUUAUGGUGCCCGUACCGUAAACGGACACACGUAGGCGAGGAGAGAAUCCAAAGACGCGCGAGAUAAUUCUUGUUAAGGAACUCUGCAAAAUGACCCUGUAACUUCGGGAUAAAGGGGACUCUAGAGAUAGAGGCGCAGAAAAUAGGCCCAAGCGACUGUUUAACAAAAACAUAGGUUUCUGCUAAAGCGAAAGCUGAUGUAUAGGAGCUGACGCCUGCCCAGUGCUGGAAGGUUAAGAGGAGAUGUAAGUCGCAAGGCAAAGCAUUGAAUUGAAGCCCCAGUAAACGGCGGCCGUAACUAUAACGGUCCUAAGGUAGCGAAAUUCCUUGUCAGGUAAGUUCUGACCCGCACGAAAGGCGUAACGAUUUGGGCGCUGUCUCAACAAGAAACUCGGUGAAAUCAUAGUACCUGUGAAGAUGCAGGUUACCCGCGAUCAGACGGGAAGACCCCAUGGAGCUUCACUGCAGCUUAAUAUUGAUAUUGGGUGUGUGAUGUACAGGAUAGGUGGGAGACGAAGAAGCGAGUACGCUAGUAUUCGUGGAGUCAACGUUGGGAUACCACCCUUCAUACAUUUAGUAUCUAACUAGUAUCCAUAAUCUGGGUAUAGAACAGUGUUAGGUGGGCAGUUUGACUGGGGCGGUCGCCUCCCAAAGAGUAACGGAGGCGCCCAAAGGUUCCCUCAGAAUGGUUGGAAAUCAUUCAAAGAGU